UUAUCUCAGGGUAUCCUGGCUUCGUUCUGCUGCCAAAUAACCAGGAGACAAAAAAAUAUCCCUCCUGGAGGAGGAGGGUCAUGCUGCUUCAGCUGGGGUGCACUCCUCAGGCUCUUUUUUGGGAUGUCACCAUGCAUUUAAAGACCCGCCUGGCCAAUGGGCCUUUGCUCUUCUUUCUCUCCCUCCCAUUCCUGGGUAACCACAGCUACCCCACCUGGAAAACCAGCCCCUUGUUAGCAAAGUUGGGAUUAUCUGGCCCUGCAGACAACGUGCCUCAUGCUUGGGCUGUCUCGGAGAUGCCUCUUGACCCUGAUGUCCAUGUCUGGAGAUGUUUCCUGGGGACAGAACUGUGAGCUCACAAAACUGUGAGCUCGUGGACCAUCACCCAGGAGAGCCAGGUUUGCUUGGCUACUUCAGAGCAGCCUCUCUGAGACAAGGAAUUAGCUGGAACAUGGGAAAAACACUCUCUCAAUUCUAAUUGCAGGAUGGUUAGGGAUACAGAGACACUUCUAGCAAUGUCUCAUGCACAUCAUGAGGGCAAGAUGGUUGAUUGAGCAGAACAAAGGCUGGAGAGCAUGGCAUAGGGCUGCACAGCAGAGAUCAUUGGUCCAGAGUGGAGGCACCUGGUCCUGAGCCAGGACCCCAACCUCAGAGUCCAGACCCCAGAUCCAGAGGAGAGAUCUUUUGUCUGGAGCAGGAAUCUCAAAACAGAGCAGACACUCCGGAGCAGAGACCCCAGAAC
Passer domesticus (house sparrow) is the source of this 742-nucleotide long non-coding RNA. RefSeq lists it as uncharacterized. NCBI's taxonomy places the organism in Eukaryota, Metazoa, Chordata, Aves, Passeriformes, Passeridae. The record is from RefSeq and is a predicted model, not a curated record. The transcript is spliced from 3 exons.